UUGGGGAUCUGGCUUUUGGAGGGGGAUAACCAUUGGAAACGAUGGCUAAUACCGCAUAGUAUCGAGAGAUGAAAGGGGUGGGAAACCACUUGCCAAGGGAUGAACCCAAGUGAGAUUAGGUAGUUGGUGGGGUAAGGGCCUACCAAGCCGACGAUCUCUAGCUGGUCUGAGAGGAUGGCCAGCCACACUGGGACUGAGACACGGCCCAGACUCCUACGGGAGGCAGCAGUGGGGAAUAUUGCGCAAUGGGGGGAAUCCUGACGCAGCCAUGCCGCGUGAAUGAAGAAGGCCUUCGGGUUGUAAAGUUCUUUCGGUGGUGAGGAAGGUUAGGAUGUUAAUAGCAUACUGAUUUGACGUUAGCCACAGAAGAAGCACCGGCUAACUCCGUGCCAGCAGCCGCGGUAAUACGGAGGGUGCGAGCGUUAAUCGGAAUAACUGGGCGUAAAGGGCACGCAGGCGGGACGUUAAGUGAGAUGUGAAAGCCCCGGGCUUAACCUGGGAACAGCAUUUCAUACUGGCGUACUAGAGUACUUUAGGGAGGGGUAGAAUUCCACGUGUAGCGGUGAAAUGCGUAGAGAUGUGGAGGAAUACCGAAGGCGAAGGCAGCCCCUUGGGAAGAUACUGACGCUCAUGUGCGAAAGCGUGGGGAGC
Molecule: ribosomal RNA, 651 nt
Filed under: uncultured bacterium
Lineage: Bacteria
Description: bacterial SSU rRNA
Rfam family: Bacterial small subunit ribosomal RNA
Source: RNAcentral